AAUGGUUCUGCUAUCUUCUCUUUGCAGGAUUGUUCAAGUGGAUCUGAAGUUCCCUCCUAGACCAAUUGUCUCAUCUGCUGCAAAGGACCUUAUAAGUCAGGUGAUUUUGGCUACUAUGACCUACAGUAUGCAAUUAAUCAGUUCAAGUAUUAUGACCUACAGUAUGCAAUUAAUCAGUUCAAGUAUUUGGUAGUAUUCCAUUUUUUCUUCAAAAUGGAAGGGUUAUUAGUAGUAAUGCCAGAUUAUAAAAAAUUUCUUAUAAAUGCAGAUGCUUGUCAAGGAUUCUUCUAACCGCC
This 296-nucleotide long non-coding RNA is filed under the name Fragaria vesca (wild strawberry). Its description in RNAcentral is "long non-coding RNA (FVES_LNC000845)". The record is from RNAcentral. Lineage: Eukaryota; Viridiplantae; Streptophyta; Magnoliopsida; Rosales; Rosaceae.